RNAcentral lists this ribosomal RNA (305 nucleotides) under uncultured bacterium. RNAcentral's name for it is "bacterial SSU rRNA". It matches the Rfam family "Bacterial small subunit ribosomal RNA", at positions 332 to 639 of the family's 1533-position model. The record is from RNAcentral.
CUAACCUACGGGGCGCAGCAGUGGGGAAUAUUGCACAAUGGGGGAAACCCUGAUGCAGCGACGCCGCGUGAGUGAAGAAGUAAUUCGUUACGUAAAGCUCUAUCAGCAGGGAAGAAAUACUGACCUUACGGUCAGCAGACGGUACCUGAGUAAGAAGCCCCGGCUAACUACGUGCCAGCAGCCGCGGUAAUACGUAGGGGGCAAGCGUUAUCCGGAUUUAUUGGGUUUAAAGGGUGCGCAGGCGGUCUGUUAAGUCAGCGGUCAAAGCCCGGGGCUCAACCCCGGCCCGCCGUUGAAACUGGCAG